CUUCGGGCUCCGUGCGACGGCUCGCCUGCGAACCCCGCCAGGCCCGGAAGGGAGCAACGGUAGUAGGACGAGUCGGGUGCUGCGGAUGCUCCCGAAGCCU
Molecule: signal recognition particle RNA, 100 nt
Filed under: Blastocatellia bacterium
Lineage: Bacteria; Pseudomonadati; Acidobacteriota; Blastocatellia
Description: signal recognition particle sRNA small type
Rfam family: Bacterial small signal recognition particle RNA
About the family: The signal recognition particle (SRP) is a universally conserved ribonucleoprotein involved in the co-translational targeting of proteins to membranes.
Source: RNAcentral